Molecule: ribosomal RNA, 500 nt
Filed under: Veillonella atypica
Lineage: Bacteria; Bacillati; Bacillota; Negativicutes; Veillonellales; Veillonellaceae
Description: bacterial SSU rRNA
Rfam family: Bacterial small subunit ribosomal RNA
Source: RNAcentral
GCUUGCUUCUAUUCUUCUUUCUGGCUGCGGGUGAGUGCGCGUACUCUACCUGCCCUUCCUUGGGGGGGCAGUUGGUUGGACUGCUUGCCCGCCUACGAUCCAUCUCUCUCUCCAUACUGGAUGAAUGGUGGCCUCUAUUUAUUUCUAUCACUGACUGAGGGGAUUGCUUCUGAUUGAUUAGUUGGAUGGAUAACGGCCCACCAAGGCGAUGAAUGAUAGCCGGUCUGACAGGAUGAACGGCCACAUUGGUACUGACACACGACACCAGACUCCUACCUAAGGCAGCAGUGAGUAAUCUUCCUUCCUGGACGAACGUCUGACUGACCGACGCCGCGUGAGUGAUGACUGACUUCGUGCUGUAAAGCUCUGUUAGUCGAGACGAAUGAAUCUUGUGUGAAUAGAGCGAGGAUUUGACUGUACCGGACUAGAAUAGCCACGGCUAGCUACCUGCCAGCCAGCUAGACAUACGUGGCAGCGAUGUCUGUACUGAUUGAUCGUAA